Molecule: ribosomal RNA, 263 nt
Filed under: uncultured bacterium
Lineage: Bacteria
Description: partial 16S ribosomal RNA
Rfam family: Bacterial small subunit ribosomal RNA
Source: RNAcentral
CUUAGUGGCGGGACUGGUGAGUAACGCGUGAGGAACCUGCCUUCCAGAGGGGGACAACAGUUGGAAACGACUGCUAAUACCGCAUAACGUGCAGCCGGGGCAUCCCGGGGCACCAAAGAUUUAUCGCUGGAAGAUGGCCUCGCGUCUGAUUAGCUAGUUGGUGGGGUAACGGCCCACCAAGGCGACGAUCAGUAGCCGGACUGAGAGGUUGGCCGGCCACAUUGGGACUGAGAUACGGCCCAGACUCCUACGGGAGGCAGCAG